GACGAACGCUGGCGGCGUGCCUAACACAUGCAAGUCGAACGGAAAGGCGCUGCUUUUGCGGGGUGCUCGAGUGGCGAACGGGUGUGUAACACGUGAGUAACCCGCCCUUGACUGUGGGAUAUCUUCAGGAAACUGCGGCUAAUACCGGAUAGGAGCUCCUGCUGCAUGGUGGGGGUUGGAAAGCUUCGGCGGUUUGGGAUGGACUCGCGGCUUAUCAGCUUGUUGGGGGAGUAGUGGCUUACCAAGGCUUUGACGGGUAGCCGGCCUGAGAGGGUGGCCGGCCACAAGAGUACUACGGUACGGCCCAGUAUCCUACGGGAGGCAACAGUGGAGAAUAUUGCACAGUGGGGCGGAGCCUGAUACAGCGACGCCGCGAGCGGGAUGACGGCCUUCUGGUGGUGAACCGCUUUCGCCUGAGACGAAGCGGGAGUGACGGUAAUGGGUAAAGAAGCACCGGCUAACUACGUG
Molecule: ribosomal RNA, 468 nt
Filed under: uncultured bacterium
Lineage: Bacteria
Description: partial 16S ribosomal RNA
Rfam family: Bacterial small subunit ribosomal RNA
Source: RNAcentral